GACGAACGCUGGCGGCGUGCUUAACACAUGCAAGUCGAACGGUGAAAGCGGAGCUUGCUCCGCUGGAUCAGUGGCGAACGGGUGAGUAACACGUGGGCAACCUGCCCCUCACUUCGGGAUAACUCCGGGAAACCGGGGCUAAUACCGGAUAUGACCUCCUUGGGCAUCCUUGGAGGUGGAAAGUUUUUCGGUGAGGGAUGGGCCCGCGGCCUAUCAGCUUGUUGGUGAGGUAGUGGCUCACCAAGGCGACGACGGGUAGCCGGCCGGAGAGGGCGACCGGCCACACUGGGACUGAGACACGGCCCAGGCUCCUACGGGAGGCAGCAGUGGGGAAUAUUGCGCAAUGGGCGAAAGCCUGACGCAGCAACGCCGCGUGCGGGAUGACGGCCUUCGGGUUGUAAACCGCUUUCAGCAGGGAAGAAGCCGCAAGGUGACGGUACCUGCAGAAGAAGCACCGGCUAACUACGUGCCAGCAGCCGCCGUAA
This 485-nucleotide ribosomal RNA is filed under the name uncultured bacterium. RNAcentral's name for it is "partial 16S ribosomal RNA". It matches the Rfam family "Bacterial small subunit ribosomal RNA", at positions 28 to 523 of the family's 1533-position model. The record is from RNAcentral.